This 279-nucleotide ribosomal RNA is filed under the name uncultured bacterium. RNAcentral's name for it is "partial 16S ribosomal RNA". It matches the Rfam family "Bacterial small subunit ribosomal RNA", at positions 505 to 784 of the family's 1533-position model. The record is from RNAcentral.
GUGCAGCAGCCGCGGUAAUACGGAGGGGGUUAGCGUUGUUCGGAAUUACUGGGCGUAAAGCGCACGUAGGCGGAUUAGUAAGUUAGGGGUGAAAUCCCGGGGCUCAACCCCGGAACUGCCUCUAAUACUGCUAGUCUUGAGUUCGAGAGAGGUGAGUGGAAUUCCGAGUGUAGAGGUGAAAUUCGUAGAUAUUCGGAGGAACACCAGUGGCGAAGGCGGCUUUCUGGACCGAUACUGACGCUGAGACGCGAAAGCGUGGGGAGCAAACAGGAUUAGAUA